This is an RNA transcript of Manis javanica (Malayan pangolin), 2179 nucleotides long. It is a transcript of the gene named RAB6A, member RAS oncogene family, with no coding region annotated. The record is from RefSeq and is a predicted model, not a curated record. Lineage: Eukaryota; Metazoa; Chordata; Mammalia; Pholidota; Manidae.
CUGGGAAGUAUUUUUGAAAACAGUUUUUAAAAAUGUCUUCUUCAGGGGCAAGGAUUACUUUUUUGGAUGCUGUCUAUAGAAUGGUGAGGUGGGGAUGUCAAUUUCUCUAAUUUUGGUGAUUCUUAAUCUUCAUCUUUUAAUAGACUUUAUUUUUUUAAAGUUUUACACAAAAAUUGAACAGACAGUACAGCAGGCCCCCAUAUACCUUCCCCUUCCACUAUUAUUGUUUUGUGUAUGAUAAAUUUGUUACAAUUAAUGACUCAAUGUAAAAUAUUAUAAUUAACUGAAGUCCAUAUUUAUUCAGAUUUCCCUUGUUUUUGCUCAUGUCUUUUCUCUUCCAGGAUCCCAUUCAGUUUAAAACUUAUGUUCAGUUGUCAUGUUAAAGUCAUGUUAAGUAACAGUUAAGUACAUUUAGUUAAUUACACUUAGUUGUUAUGUCUCCUUAGGCUCUUCCUGCUGGUGAUGUUAACCUUCAUAUUUUUGGGUCAUGAGCUGGGUUGAAAAAUCUGAUGAAAAUUACGAAUCCUUUCCACAAAAAAAUGCACAUACUUCAAAUGUGUAAUUUAAUGGAGAUCUGCCUAUAGCUGAUUCAGAAGCCCUGCUUGAGGAGAAAUGACUAAUCUUUAAAAUACCUGCUCUCUGCAUUUGGUCUCAAGGUCAGUCUCUACCUCUAAUUUGCUGUGACCUUUCUGCAAAGCUCUUUCCCAAAUGGGCCUCAGUUUCACCAUCUGUGAAAUGGCAGGCUUGGUGUACAUGAUGUCUAAAUCCUUUCCCAGCACAGUGAAAGAUGGACAUCACCUAGCAUUGUGGCUUCUGGUAGUUAUGAAACUCCUGAGAGCAACAGCAGAGAAUGUACCCAGUAAGAUAUUGAGUGAGGAAUUAUGAUAAGAAGAACGAGAAUAUGGGAGGGUGUACUGAUGAAGAGCGGAUCUGAGGAAUGUGUUGUUCGGCUCAAGGCUCAGGCAAGAAGAAACUGGUUCACUUUCAGGAUCUCGAAUCACACCCGCUCCCUGCUGGGGUCAAUUCCACGUCCAUUCCGGCCCCGCCUUCGUCCCACCUUCUUUCCUUCCAUUCAUGCGGCGACGUGCCACACUCUGCAUGGCCGUCACCUUGCGACACUUUCCAUCACGCGAGGGCUCUGCGCGCGCUCUCGCACUGCCAACUCACUCCAAUCCCUGUCCGCCUUUGGACUUUUCCGAUUGGCUCAUUACUUAAGUGAUGAAAGUGUUCCUUAUUCCACCCCUGUUUCCCUCGGGCUCCGCCCCGCCUCCUCCCCGUUUUCCAGACGCGAGUUGAAAGCUAACCUACCCUCGUCUACGUUUCCCGGGAAGAGUCGGGGAAAGCUGGCUAAACCAGGAAGGCACUUGCUGUGGCGCGCACGCGCACGCACGUACGCACGUCGGCGGCUGAAGGGGCGGCAGGCUCGUGCCCGGGCUCGCCCCUCGCCGCGCCAGAGGCUCGCGCACUCAGCAGGUUGUGCUGCGGCGGCGGCAGCUGUGGGAACCGACGGGCUGCGUGUGAGAGGUCCCAGACGCGUGUGCGACUCCGGCCCCGCCACUCUCACCCCAGUUUCCGUGCCGGGUGCUGAGAAGGGAACGGCGCUAGCCUUGGGAAUCUUGGAAGCACACCCCUGGCUGCUUCCGACACCGCCCUCCUUCCCUUCCCAGCCGCGGGCCUCGCUCGGUGCUAGGCGACUCCGCGGGGAGGCGGCAGUGACGAUUGCCUGUCCGUGGAGAGGAGUCCUCCCUAAAGCCUUGCUGCGCUGCCCGGGCCCUGCAGUGGCCGAGAGCUCGGCGCCCGCCCCCUCUCGCCUUUUUCGUCAACGGGUUAGGGCAGCGUCGGUUCGGGAGGUCUCUGGGCUGAGGCGGCGGCUGGUCCUCCGGCUCCAUCAUGUCCGCGGGCGGAGACUUCGGGAACCCGCUGAGGAAAUUCAAGCUGGUGUUCCUGGGGGAGCAGAGCGUUGGAAAGACGUCCUUGAUCACCAGAUUCAUGUAUGACAGUUUUGACAACACCUACCAGGCAACAAUUGGUAUUGAUUUUUUAUCAAAAACAAUGUACUUGGAGGAUCGAACAGUACGAUUGCAAUUAUGGGACACAGCAGGUCAAGAGCGGUUCAGGAGCUUGAUUCCUAGCUACAUUCGUGACUCCACUGUGGCAGUUGUUGUUUAUGAUAUCACAA